Molecule: transfer RNA, 75 nt
Filed under: Weissella viridescens
Lineage: Bacteria; Bacillati; Bacillota; Bacilli; Lactobacillales; Lactobacillaceae
Description: tRNA-Arg
Rfam family: tRNA
About the family: Transfer RNA (tRNA) molecules are approximately 80 nucleotides in length.
Source: RNAcentral
AGGCAUGUAGUUUAAUGGGAAAAACGACUUUUUUCUACCUUUUUAGUUAAAGUGGUUCGAUUCCACUCAUGCCUA